Molecule: ribosomal RNA, 836 nt
Filed under: Mammaliicoccus sciuri
Lineage: Bacteria; Bacillati; Bacillota; Bacilli; Caryophanales; Staphylococcaceae
Description: bacterial SSU rRNA
Rfam family: Bacterial small subunit ribosomal RNA
Source: RNAcentral
GCAAGUCGAGCGAACAGAUGAGAAGCUUGCUUCUCUGAUGUUAGCGGCGGACGGGUGAGUAACACGUGGGUAACCUACCUAUAAGACUGGGAUAACUCCGGGAAACCGGGGCUAAUACCGGAUAAUAUUUUGAACCGCAUGGUUCAAUAGUGAAAGACGGUUUCGGCUGUCACUUAUAGAUGGACCCGCGCCGUAUUAGCUAGUUGGUAAGGUAACGGCUUACCAAGGCGACGAUACGUAGCCGACCUGAGAGGGUGAUCGGCCACACUGGAACUGAGACACGGUCCAGACUCCUACGGGAGGCAGCAGUAGGGAAUCUUCCGCAAUGGGCGAAAGCCUGACGGAGCAACGCCGCGUGAGUGAUGAAGGUCUUCGGAUCGUAAAACUCUGUUGUUAGGGAAGAACAAAUUUGUUAGUAACUGAACAAGUCUUGACGGUACCUAACCAGAAAGCCACGGCUAACUACGUGCCAGCAGCCGCGGUAAUACGUAGGUGGCAAGCGUUAUCCGGAAUUAUUGGGCGUAAAGCGCGCGUAGGCGGUUUCUUAAGUCUGAUGUGAAAGCCCACGGCUCAACCGUGGAGGGUCAUUGGAAACUGGGAAACUUGAGUGCAGAAGAGGAGAGUGGAAUUCCAUGUGUAGCGGUGAAAUGCGCAGAGAUAUGGAGGAACACCAGUGGCGAAGGCGGCUCUCUGGUCUGUAACUGACGCUGAUGUGCGAAAGCGUGGGGAUCAAACAGGAUUAGAUACCCUGGAAGUCCACGCCGUAAACGAUGAGUGCUAAGUGUUAGGGGUUUCCGCCCCUUAGUGCUGCAGCUAACGCAUUAAAGCACUCCGCC